GACCGCGUAGCUCAGUUGGAAGAGCAUUGUGCUAGUAUCCAAAGGUCGUAGGUUCGAAUCCCACCGUGGCCG
Molecule: non-coding RNA, 72 nt
Organism: Paramuricea clavata
Lineage: Eukaryota; Metazoa; Cnidaria; Anthozoa; Malacalcyonacea; Plexauridae
Source: the annotation of a GenBank genome assembly